Molecule: regulatory RNA element, 171 nt
Rfam family: speF leader
About the family: This family is a putative regulatory RNA structure that is found upstream of the speF gene encoding ornithine decarboxylase in Agrobacterium tumefaciens and other alpha-proteobacteria.
Source: Rfam
UGCCGGGGUUCCAUCCUCCGGGGUCACUUUUGAGGCACUUAUUACAUCAUUGCCAGACGUGCGGUUCGGUCUUCCGAUCCAAUCAACGGCAUCACACGCGGGUAAGCGUCCGGUCACCGUUUGUCCAACGGUCCCGUCGCCCAACCGUCGCCAUAUGCAAGCGCUUGCCUU